AUGAACGCUGGCGGCGUGCCUAAUACAUGCAAGUCGAGCGAACGGACGAGAAGCUUGCUUCUCUGAUGUUAGCGGCGGACGGGUGAGUAACACGUGGAUAACCUACCUAUAAGACUGGGAUAACUUCGGGAAACCGGAGCUAAUACCGGAUAAUAUUUUGAACCGCAUGGUUCAAAAGUGAAAGACGGUCUUGCUGUCACUUAUAGAUGGAUCCGCGCUGCAUUAGCUAGUUGGUAAGGUAACGGCUUACCAAGGCAACGAUGCAUAGCCGACCUGAGAGGGUGAUCGGCCACACUGGAACUGAGACACGGUCCAGACUCCUACGGGAGGCAGCAGUAGGGAAUCUUCCGCAAUGGGCGAAAGCCUGACGAAGCAACGCCGCGUGAGUGAUGAAGGUCUUCGGAUCGUAAAACUCUGUUAUUAGGGAAGAACAUAUGUGUAAGUAACUGUGCACAUCUUGACGGUACCUAAUCAGAAAGCCACGGCUAACUACGUG
Molecule: ribosomal RNA, 496 nt
Filed under: uncultured bacterium
Lineage: Bacteria
Description: partial 16S ribosomal RNA
Rfam family: Bacterial small subunit ribosomal RNA
Source: RNAcentral